ACGGCAAGAUCUACGAACGUGUUGCGGAUUGCGAACUCGGUUGUGAUGUCUUGAUACUUUUUGUAGCCAAACAUGUCAGCGAGCAUGUCGCCAACGAUCACCGCUGUAUCAGACUCGCUAAUGUCGCGCCGCCGCGCGUCUGCAAGAAUAGCUUGGUAUCGCUUUAUUCCGGCUGUGAGCCGCUCGCUUACUUUCUUUGAUACGCCCAUAGCGUUGGCCCCCGAAGCACUUGGUCAGCAUGCCACAUCCGAUACG
This 255-nucleotide unclassified non-coding RNA is filed under the name uncultured bacterium. RNAcentral describes it as "contains 16S-23S intergenic spacer region". The record is from RNAcentral.